Molecule: ribosomal RNA, 242 nt
Filed under: uncultured bacterium
Lineage: Bacteria
Description: partial 16S ribosomal RNA
Rfam family: Bacterial small subunit ribosomal RNA
Source: RNAcentral
CGGACCAGCGCACGGGUGCGUAACGCGUAUGCAACCUACCUUUAACAGGGGGAUAACACUGAGAAAUUGGUACUAAUACCCCAUAAUAUCAUAGAAGGCAUCUUUUAUGGUUGAAAAUUCCGAUGGUUAGAGAUGGGCAUGCGUUGUAUUAGCUAGUUGGUGGGGUAACGGCUCACCAAGGCGACGAUACAUAGGGGGACUGAGAGGUUAACCCCCCACACUGGUACUGAGACACGGACCAG